GGAUCGUAAAGCUCUGUUGUUAGGGAAGAACAAGUGCGAGAGUAACUGCUCGCACCAUGACGGUACCUAACCAGAAAGCCACGGCUAACUACGUGCCAGCAGCCGCGGUAAUACGUAGGUGGCAAGCGUUGUCCGGAAUUAUUGGGCGUAAAGGGCUCGCAGGCGGUUUCUUAAGUCUGAUGUGAAAGCCCCCGGCUCAACCGGGGAGGGUCAUUGGAAACUGGGAAACUUGAGUGCAGAAGAGGAGAGUGGAAUUCCACGUGUAGCGGUGAAAUGCGUAGAGAUGUGGAGGAACACCAGUGGCGAAGGCGACUCUCUGGUCUGUAACUGACGCUGAGGAGCGAAAGCGUGGGGAGCGAACAGGAUUAGAUACCCUGGUAGUCCACGCCGUAAACGAUGAGUGCUAAGUGUUAGGGGGUUUCCGCCCCUUAGUGCUGCAGCUAACGCAUUAAGCACUCCGCCUGGGGAGUACGGUCGCAAGACUGAAACUCAAAGGAAUUGACGGGGGCCCGCACAAGCGGUGGAGCAUGUGGUUUAAUUCGAA
This 544-nucleotide ribosomal RNA is filed under the name Bacillus pumilus. RNAcentral's name for it is "bacterial SSU rRNA". It matches the Rfam family "Bacterial small subunit ribosomal RNA", at positions 420 to 955 of the family's 1533-position model. Lineage: Bacteria; Bacillati; Bacillota; Bacilli; Caryophanales; Bacillaceae. The record is from RNAcentral.